UACGUAGGGUGCAGGCGUUAAUCGGAAUUACUGGGCGUAAAGCGUGCGUAGGCGGCCAGAUAAGUCCGGUGUGAAAGUCAAAGGCUCAACCUUUGAAUGCCGCUGGAAACUGUCUGGCUAGAGUCCGGGAGGGGCGAGUGGAAUUCCUGGUGUAGCGGUGAAAUGCGCAGAUAUCAGGAGGAACACCAAUGGCGAAGGCAGCUCGCUGGAACGGUACUGACGCUGAGGCGCGAAAGCGUGGGGAGCGAACAGG
RNAcentral lists this ribosomal RNA (253 nucleotides) under uncultured bacterium. Its description in RNAcentral is "partial 16S ribosomal RNA". It matches the Rfam family "Bacterial small subunit ribosomal RNA", at positions 524 to 776 of the family's 1533-position model. The record is from RNAcentral.